Long non-coding RNA from Octopus bimaculoides (California two-spot octopus), 767 nucleotides. NCBI's taxonomy places the organism in Eukaryota, Metazoa, Mollusca, Cephalopoda, Octopoda, Octopodidae. The record is from RefSeq and is a predicted model, not a curated record.
GUUUCUUUGGAAACGUAUAGCAAGCAAGCAAGCAAGCAAGCAAGAAAGAAAGAAAGAAAGAAAGAAAGAUAACAAGCACCAACAUGUCAGAAAGCUGUAAUGGGCUGACAUCCGCAAGGGGACAAACAAGGACAGACAAACGGAUUAAGUCGAUUAUAUCGACCCCAGUGUGUUACUGGUACUUAUUUAAUCGACCCCGAAAGGAUGGAAGGCAAAGUCGACCUCGGCGGAAUUUGAACUCAGAACGUAGUGGCAGACGAAAUACUGCAGGCUAUGAAAAUACCCACACAACUGAGAACAAUGCAAAGAAGAGAAAAACAAGAACAAAUCAUACCAUUUAUAGUGACGCACAAUCCAUACUACCAGAGCAUCUUCAAAAUCGUUAAAGCAAACCUACCAAUCAUUGCUCGAGUAAGGAAUUAAGAGAUAUCAUUACAGACCAAACUAUAACUCUCAAUAAAAGACAGCCUAAAAGCUUGAAACAGUUAUUAACAAAGGCAAGGUUUGACCUUAGCAACAAAACCAACCAUUCACUGUGUCUAAAUGCAAUAAUAGCCGAUACGGUACAUGCCAGUUCAUUCAUAGUGGCCCAUAUAUGGACACAAAAACGGGGGAAAUAUUCACAAACAAAAUUAUGAACUGUAAAAGCAGAAAUUUAAUCUACUGCAUCAAAUGCCCGAAUUGUGAAGAGCUGUAUGUUGGCCAGACAGGCAAUGCACUAUCAGAACGCUCACGAGUGCACCGACAACAAAUUAAAAAUCCAGAAG